This is a long non-coding RNA of Parus major (Great Tit), 4111 nucleotides long. RefSeq lists it as uncharacterized. NCBI's taxonomy places the organism in Eukaryota, Metazoa, Chordata, Aves, Passeriformes, Paridae. The transcript is spliced from 3 exons. The record is from RefSeq and is a predicted model, not a curated record.
CUGGUUGGCUUUUUUCUUAACGCUGUAAUUUUGCACGCAUUCACUUUCCCCCUAGUUUUUUGCCGGGGGUGGUCGCGGUGGGGUGGUGGGUGGAGUGGACUGGGGGGUCGGAAGCCCUCUUUUGGUGUCCGAACAUUGGCUAUUUUCCCUGUAUUACCCGCACCGUUCAAUUCCGUCUAUGAAAACCUCUCCCCACACCCUGCACACACGCAGACACUCCUCCCUUCGAACAAAAAGGAAUGUAUAAAGAUUUCAGUGACUUUGAGAUAACAAAGGCGCCACCAUUGCCGAGCCUCGCCCCGCCUCUGUGUGAUGGCAAACAAAUUCUUGCACUUGUAUUAGGGCUUUUAAGGCUAUAAUUGAACACGGCGCGUCUAGGGGAACCGAAAACAGUUCUAGACUGACCUGCGGUUUUAUAGCACUUUGGCAGUCAACUUCAGCUUGUGUCAGAGCAGACACGACAGAGCUGCCCAACACUUAAUCGCGGGACGCCACCUCCUCGGACUCGCUGCAGCCUCCCUCUUGCGUUUCAAUAAAUUUCAAACCUCGGGGCUAGAAAUGGGGAGCAGAGCUGGCACAGGUUUGUACGGGGCUCUUUGCCGCUCCUCUCUGCAGCCGAGGCUGCGGCGCCGUACGAGGCUCCGCCGUGCCAGAGGUCGGGGCUGCCUCUGGGAAACAAAGGGAAUUUAAGGCAAGAAGGGCGAGAAGGCGACUGGAAAUAGGAGCGUGUGUGCGUGGGUGUGCGUGUGUCUGGGCAUAUACGUGCUUGCACAGCAUGCACACGUGCAGCCCCGAUGCCUGCUUUGGAAUCGCCCGAGCUCUCCCCCACCUCUCCAGACCAAGCAGCCUGUUUCUCUUCAAGCGGGUUUGUAACGCUGGGGGACCCCAAAACGCCUCCGGGUGCCGCCCGCACGACAAGCGGGAAGGGAGACGGGGGAAAGGCGAGGGGGGCACAGCUCGACUGGGAGCGAGCAGACACCCAAGGCACAGGCUGUUCUCUGCUUUAUUUGCUGUUAAGUGAAACAAGAGAUAAUGUACGCUAAAAGUCCCGGAAUGUGUGGGUAAUUGCAGGGAGCCUGCUGUUAAGUUGCUGUGUUCAGCACAAUUAUCAAUGUUGAUUAUUUGGUCUAAUGUUGAAUUGCUCUUUUAAUACAGUAAUUGGGACUUCCGCGUUGAGGAAGGGGGAAAACCGAGCCUUCCCCUCGCUAACCUCACUGAGAACAACAUAAACAAAGGCAGGCAUUUCGUUUGGAGAAGCAAAAUGCAUUCGUUACGCCUUCCCAUGUAUUUCGACCGGAUUAGAGAGGGUAAAACCGCUCUGAAUUUGGAACCUCUGCUGCAGGACGGUUUUGCAAAGGAGAAGCGUGGCCAAGAGGAUUAAACGCUACAGACCUACAGAGAUAUACCCUUUGUUGGCGACCAGUCAUGAUAUUUUGCAUCCCUUCGAGCUGAUGAACAUCUGAGGGCUCUCUGAAUGAUAGCUGCAAGUAAAAGAAAUAUUGCGGGUUUUUUUUUUUUUUCAGGAGAUGAAGCUAGAUAGAAAACUAGAUAGAUAGAUAGAAAACUUCAUGUUUCGGCAGCUAUUCUCUCGCUCACCAGCAGACAAACGAUUUGUUGUUCUGACAGCCUCCCGGCGCCUUCCCAAGUCGCGGGGAGUCUCUCACUAUGUCGUGUCUCCUCACCCCCCGGUUCCCCAGCCCUCAGCUCCAGGGUCCUGGGGGCUGAACCCCUCUAAAAUGUUUAUGUUUACUGCUCGGAGCCUGGUUCUGAAAGGCAAUGCUAGCGGGUUUGGCAAUAAGGCGCAAGAAGAGGUUUUCUCUGACCAACUAGUGUAUCAGAAAUUGAUUGACUGACAAUGCUUCUAUAAAUGUCUCUUUUUCUCCCCUUAAACCCUCUCGGAGGCUUUUCCGGCACAGGAAAACAUACACACAAUCAUUCAUUUCCCACCCCGUCUAUCCAGAUACAGGUGCAAGAGACUUCUAGAAAACUUAGUCUGCGGGAGAGGGGUGUCUAGAGCCAGCGGUGGGCUCCAAACUGGUGCGAAAGCAAAUUCCCUUGCUUAUAAUCCUCCGGUACAGAAAAGCAGGCACUUUCCAGCGACUCCCACCCAGACCCACAAGCACCGUGUCGUUAGCACUGUUUGUAGUAAGCAGGUAGCAGCCCCCUUUCGUGUCAAUGUAUUUUAUGAAGAAUUAAGCAGAGCGGUUUAGGGGAACAUUCCCAGUGAUCCCUUGAAAGUGAGGUGCUAGUAAUGGACAGUUAUCCCUGCGAACGGCCAUAUCCCAGCGAUGUUCCCAUGCAAAGUUCACCCGCAACCGAGAGUGCCACUCCAUGUGGCACUAUUAAAAAAAAAAAAAAGAAAAAAGAAAAAAGAAAAAAUUAGGAAAAAAAAGGAAAAAAAAGAAAAAAGUUCACCAAAACAUUCCCAUGUCGACUUACAUUUAAAAGUAUUGCUAGAAUCGAUGCCUUGAACUUGACCUUAGAUUUGUUAAUCCAGGAAAUAUAUUCAGUGAGAGGAAAAAUAAUCCUAUCGCAUUGCCUCUGGCAAAAGAGCAUUUUCUGCCUACUAAUUCAGGAUAUAAACGACACACAAGAGUUAUGAGAUACAUAAUGUGCCCUCCAGAUUAAGCCCAGAAAGCUGCAGAAAGUGGAAUGCCUCAAUGCCGAGACCAGCCUGUCGUAGCUAGACUGUUUCUGAGAUGCCGAGAUCCAAACUGUGCCACAGAAAUUCACGUCAAGGGGGCGGGUACAGGAAGUAUCGCUAUACCGGGACUGUCAAAUCAACGACUUCAAAGCUCCAACUUCAUAUUUUGAUGGACUCCCAGAAUCGUAUUAUAAUUAAGGUACCUGUACUUGUGUAACAUUUACAGGAAGCUAUUUGUAUAACACGAGCCUGAAGUACGUGCUGCAAUUUAGGAUGCAAUCAUAUGCCAAUGUACAGCUCAGCCAGCUCGUAAGGAUCGUUUCUUGUCUCUUCUCUCAUAUGUAAAGUAAAGAUACCCAUAAAAAACAGCUCUUUCUCUAAGCCUAAUAUGGCUGCUCUUGCCUAUGUCCGGGUGGAAGCCUGCUCACUGCCCCACUUGCUUCCUUUUCCACACUUUUCAACAAAUGCUGAUACUAAUAUCACUCUUUCCAGAAAUAGGGGUGCAUAAGCGUGACAGAUUCACAUUGCAGAGCCCGGGGGAAUUUGGGCAAAACAUCCAGAAUGGGACCAGGCGAAGCGUGGGGGUACUCGUUCUUUCUCUUUCGGUUUUAUUUUUCCAUCAAGUGUUCAUACAGCACAGUAUGUAAAAAUCCUCACAUAUUUAAAAGUAAACCACCUACUAUUUGGAGACGAAGUCCAUCCAAGAUUGCUUUGUAUUAAAAAACUUUUUCCCUUUUUUUUAAAAUUUAUUUAAUUUUUUUUUUCUUUGCCUACCCGAAGGCAUUUCAAAGCCAGGCUUGAAAUAACCCGCUUUUCUAUUACUCCUCGCCCAAGCCGACCAUAUAGGUCGUUUUAUACGAUCAGGAAUAAAUGAAAGCAAUUUGCUUAGUGUGUUCAAAUCAAGGCGAUUACGACGAAAUUCAGAUUAAUUAAAGCUGACAGGUUACAAUGCCCGGCUGGCAUUUUUCUCUCUUGAUACACACAAAAAAUGGGGAAAAGCAGACAGGUUAAACAUCCUUCCCCGCAUUUCUUCCACACACAGCCGUCCACCCUCCUCCCCGGCACUUGAAUGAUUAAAAUAAUUUCAGAGGCAAGUACGCGGGAAUAAAACAACCGGGGAUAAAAACCAAGAGACGCUUUUCCACGCAGCCUGACCCAGCUCCGCAAUACAACACGGCUCUGCACAAAGCGAAACAACCAGCAGCUCUAUCUGCAAGUCUGCUCUCGUCCUGGGCUCUGACCCCAGCCUCUCCUGGCGCACUUUCCUGCCAAGAGUUCUCUUUGCUUCCCACCUAUGCUAGAGAGGAAAGCAGCAUCCUUGGGGAAGGUGGAGCCGGCACCCAAGCUGGGAGAAAGAGUCUUACUUUUCUCAACCAGCUCUUCGGCUCUAUUAGCAUCUGCUCUGGCAGCCUUCCCCCAGGUCCCCGCAGGAGAAGCGGCACCUCGGCCUCAUACACCGUGGGACAA